Molecule: ribosomal RNA, 496 nt
Filed under: uncultured bacterium
Lineage: Bacteria
Description: partial 16S ribosomal RNA
Rfam family: Bacterial small subunit ribosomal RNA
Source: RNAcentral
AUGAACGCUGGCGGCGUGCCUAAUACAUGCCAGUCGCGCGAACAGACGAGGAGCUUGCUCCUCUGACGUUAGCGGCGGACGGGUGAGUAACACGUGGAUAACCUACCUAUAAGACUGGGAUAACUUCGGGAAACCGGAGCUAAUACCGGAUAAUAUAUUGAACCGCAUGGUUCAAUAGUGAAAGACGGUUUUGCUGUCACUUAUAGAUGGAUCCGCGCCGCAUUAGCUAGUUGGUAAGGUAACGGCUUACCAAGGCGACGAUGCGUAGCCGACCUGAGAGGGUGAUCGGCCACACUGGAACUGAGACACGGUCCAGACUCCUACGGGAGGCAGCAAUAGGGAAUCUUCCGCAAUGGGCGAAAGCCUGACGGAGCAACGCCGCGUGAGUGAUGAAGGUCUUCGGAUCGUAAAACUCUGUUAUUAGGGAAGAACAAAUGUGUAAGUAACUAUGCACGUCUUGACGGUACCUAAUCAGAAAGCCACGGCUAACUACGUG